ACACACACACACAGGGUCACCUGAUGUGAAGGCAGAGCAGACUCCCCAAAGAGAUGCACCAAAGCUCUUUAAGUUGCUUUGAAACAGAAAUGGCAGCCAGGACUCUGCAGUUUUAAAGCAUCUGUUUUGUUCCCUAGAAGAAAUGCACACCAAAGUAGACCACUGGAUCAAUGGGAAAGAAUUCCAUCAUCUUGGAUGGGCUUUGCAUCAUGCCCUGCAGUUGCUUUACCUGUGUUUGGCUGGCAGACUGGCAUCCCUCAGAGAGCU
Manacus vitellinus (golden-collared manakin) is the source of this 267-nucleotide long non-coding RNA. RefSeq lists it as uncharacterized. The record is from RefSeq and is a predicted model, not a curated record. The transcript has 3 exons. NCBI's taxonomy places the organism in Eukaryota, Metazoa, Chordata, Aves, Passeriformes, Pipridae.